CUUCUUGACUUGGAACCUGUCCGGGUCACAAGUUUCACAAGCAGUGCUUUCUUUCUGCAGCAAAGAUAUUAGAACCAAAACUAGCUAUACUUAGAGGGCUCCUGAUGCAGUUGCAUGGCUAGUAGUCACAGUUUUGCAAGCUUAUAAGUAUUUCCCCAUUGAUAGCACACCGAUAACUGGCUCGAGUAUGGUGCUUGCACAUGUUACAAAACGGGGAAACCGCACCACAAGUGCAGCUUACGAAAUAUAAUGUUCUUGUCUAGCAUUUCCUUAAUGACCGCGCCGUAUUAGCAAGCGCCAAGAAUUUGAUGAAAUUUUCCAUUAUCAACUCCAAUCUGGGGUAUUCCCACAUAAAGCUGAUUAAAAUCUACGUGCCACGUUGGCCAUGGUAUUCAAAACUCCCAUCUCUGCCGAAUCCAAACGCCGAACAAUGACACAUUCAAAAUGGAAGUGAGAACUUGACAGAAUUGGGAGGGCGAGGAAAAGUCGUCAAUAAAAAAAUAAUAAUUUCCGCUCCAGCGCACAGCGAACACGGACGUCGACGGGAUCGAGGAUUAGAGCAGGAGUCGAAACUGCAGGCGGCGGAGGAGGACGGCCAGCCAGGAGGAGAUUAUUCAAAUGAUUGGAAAUUAUCAUGUGCUUGCAUCCAUUUUCGGUCCAGCCAGUGGCCGGGCUCUAUUCUCGAUGCUUCCUGGUCCAGGUUCGGUGUGCAAACAACAAAUUGCAUUUGUCAUCUGCUGCAUAAAUAACGAGAUAAUACCGUAA
This is a long non-coding RNA of Drosophila erecta, 765 nucleotides long. RefSeq lists it as uncharacterized. Lineage: Eukaryota; Metazoa; Arthropoda; Insecta; Diptera; Drosophilidae. The transcript is spliced from 2 exons. The record is from RefSeq and is a predicted model, not a curated record.